UUGAUAGUUGUAAAAGCUCCUUCUCAAAUACUAAUAAAUCACUUUGUUCCCCGAUAAUGAUUGAAUGAAUGAAUCCAGGCAGACUGAUGAAAUUUAAGAUGAACUCCAGUUUGUCGGUGGCAGUUAAAUUAAGAAUAAUAUCUAAGACAUGAAUCAUGACUGUUAAUUCCAUUCACAAAAUCAGAUUACACUAAAAUUAUUUUCUACCAAAAAAGGCAGGCAAGAU
This 226-nucleotide long non-coding RNA is filed under the name Panax ginseng (ginseng). RNAcentral's name for it is "long non-coding RNA (PGIN_LNC007727)". Lineage: Eukaryota; Viridiplantae; Streptophyta; Magnoliopsida; Apiales; Araliaceae. The record is from RNAcentral.